This 799-nucleotide ribosomal RNA is filed under the name Micromonospora sp. R01-15. RNAcentral describes it as "bacterial SSU rRNA". It matches the Rfam family "Bacterial small subunit ribosomal RNA", at positions 73 to 886 of the family's 1533-position model. The record is from RNAcentral. Lineage: Bacteria; Bacillati; Actinomycetota; Actinomycetes; Micromonosporales; Micromonosporaceae.
AAGGCCCUUCGGUGUGCUCGAGCGCUGAACGGGUGAGUAACACGUGAGCAACCUGCCCCAGGCUUUGGGAUAACCCCGGGAAACCGGGGCUAAUACCGAAUAUGACCUCCGAUCGCAUGGUUGGUGGUGGAAAGUUUUUCGGCUUGGGAUGGGCUCGCGGCCUAUCAGCUUGUUGGUGGGGUGAUGGCCUACCAAGGCGACGACGGGUAGCCGGCCUGAGAGGGCGACCGGCCACACUGGGACUGAGACACGGCCCAGACUCCUACGGGAGGCAGCAGUGGGGAAUAUUGCACAAUGGGCGGAAGCCUGAUGCAGCGACGCCGCGUGAGGGAUGACGGCCUUCGGGUUGUAAACCUCUUUCAGCAGGGACGAAGCGUAAGUGACGGUACCUGCAGAAGAAGCGCCGGCCAACUACGUGCCAGCAGCCGCGGUAAGACGUAGGGCGCGAGCGUUGUCCGGAUUUAUUGGGCGUAAAGAGCUCGUAGGCGGCUUGUCGCGUCGACUGUGAAAACCCGCAGCUCAACUGCGGGCCUGCAGUCGAUACGGGCAGGCUAGAGUUCGGUAGGGGAGACUGGAAUUCCUGGUGUAGCGGUGAAAUGCGCAGAUAUCAGGAGGAACACCGGUGGCGAAGGCGGGUCUCUGGGCCGAUACUGACGCUGAGGAGCGAAAGCGUGGGGAGCGAACAGGAUUAGAUACCCUGGUAGUCCACGCUGUAAACGUUGGGCGCUAGGUGUGGGGGGCCUCUCCGGUUCCCUGUGCCGCAGCUAACGCAUUAAGCGCCCCGCCUGGGGAGUACGGC